This is a long non-coding RNA of Columba livia (rock pigeon), 10604 nucleotides long. RefSeq lists it as uncharacterized. Lineage: Eukaryota; Metazoa; Chordata; Aves; Columbiformes; Columbidae. The record is from RefSeq and is a predicted model, not a curated record. The transcript is spliced from 9 exons.
CCCCGCAGCCCCGCAGCCCCGCAGCCGCGUUCCGGCCGGUGAGGCUCGCUGAGGGGGUGAGGGAGCGGGACGCGGGGCGCUUCAGGCAGAGUUCCCGCUCAGGGGGCCCGUGGAGCUGAGCGGCUCCGGCGGUCAUGAUGUUCAGCAGACGGGUUUAAUUUUCCAGCCUUCCCCCCGUCCCAGUUUUAUUUUAACUUUUUUAGGCCAUCGCAGGUUUGUUCAGCUUGGAGAGGAGGACACUGAGACGGGACCUCGUGGCAGCUGCAGGUUCCUCAGCAGGAGCAGGAGGGGCAGGCUACCUGCAAAGUCAAGAAAAGAAGAGAUCCGUAAUUCUCCAUAAUUAAUUUUAUUAAAAAUAUGAUUGGAAGAGAGUUGGACAACACUAGCUCACCAUUAGAACUACCUGGAGGAAAGCAGGAAUCAGGAGAAGAUUUGCAAACCUGUAUCUCAAACUGCAGAGAUCAGAAGGCAAGAAUGCAUGAAACACAGUUAAAAUAGCUGUGUUGGAAAGAACUUGCAUCAUUUCCAAGGUCUGAGGCAUUACAAUUGAAGAUAAUGAGUUCACAUAUUGGGAUUGGUUAUGUUUAGGUGAUGAAUGCAGCAUCUGCUGGGUCACUGAUCUGCAGGAACAAGAGCAUCGAAUUUUCUCCUCCCGGGGGUGCUCAGAGCUGGCGUGCCCUCCCCAGCGAGUUCUCUGCCUGCAGCGCUGCUGCCCGUUUGCCCAUCCCCACCACAGAAUGAAGAAAACAAGCAUGCAUUUCUAGAGGGGUACUUGUUAAAAAAGGCGGGUUCUCCGUGGAUGGAGGAGAUGUCUAUUGCAGUGACUGAAGGACUCUGCUGCCUGACCCAUACGUAAGUCGAGACUUUACAAAAUAAUGUUGCGUGGGCUGACUUGCACUGGCACAUUUUUACCACAUAAAGCCCAAGAGACCUUCCCAAGGGGCUGUGCUGCUCCCCCUGGGCUGGCAGGAGACAAGACAUUGUGCACCUGCUUUUUGGAGAACUUACCUUGGACUCAUCACUACACAAACUGCAAUUUCAGAGCUUCCACGAGCUGGAGUGCAGGUGGAGAGCACCAUAUAGCCAUAGUGUAAGAAAUCUGGGCAAAUGAUUGAACUGGAGUCAGAAAUACAAGCUUUGCUACUCCACCAUUUCCAUGAGUAGCAUGGGAGUAACAGUGUUGUGCUAAGUUACAGCAUUUCUCUAAGGGUGAAGAAUUCUAAAGUAUUCCCAUAGGGUGGCUUUGAAAAGUGCUGGAUAAAUCCAGUCAAUCAAAAGACCGUGUGACCUUUUCCAGAAAUCCUUAUCACAGCAGUUAGAAAAUGAAGAGGGUUGUUUAAUUGAAGUGCUGAUAUUAUUCAUUAGCCAGAAUUUGUUUGUGGCUCAAAGUUAGCAUACUCUGUUAAAACAAACAAACAAACAUGGGAUUUGUAAAGUGAAAUGCUACUUAAUGACUUAGUAUUGCUGAAAUUAGGAAGGCUGUUUCUUGAAUCCUGGGUCACUGUCCUCGCUCUACCAGGUUGAUGUCUUGUCUGAAAUGGCAUAUGGAAAAUUUUCUUCAUAGUGUAUAUUCAGGACUCAUCUGUUGUGUGAUCUGAAUAAUCUUCUGUCCAUCCAUCAUCUACAGUACUGAAAAGAAACUAAACGGCAGCAUUUUGUGAUGAACCGGGCAAGAUGGGAAAGAAACUAUAUUUUCACUUUCAUCUGCCAAGCCGUGUGACUGAUGGAGAAGAGUGAGUUCUGAAUGCUGAGCCGAUACCACGUGCAGGGCUGAGCUGUUUGCAAGAGUGUUACAGAAUUGUUUAUAGCAGCUAAACCUUGGAAGACAAAUCCCCAGUACUUUUUGAGGGACCAGCCGCACUUCUGAAGUAAUGCAUUGCAAAUUAUUUUUAGCCAAGUUCCUAUGUGGGUUUACUGACUUUUGUGAAGGAUGUAGAUAUGUAUUUGGAUUUGGGGUAAUAACAGCAGUAAAAUCAAGCAUUUACUUUUUUACCUGCCAGAUAUAAUCAAAUUAAAUUCUAUCAUGAUUACAAGCAAAACAAAAGUGUGACAUAAGUAGCUAUGAUUUUUUGUAUGCCAUCUUUCGAAACAUAAAUAUGCUGCUUGGAGACAGGCCUGGGAGAAGAUGCAGAAUGAGUAUUUUACUUCCUAAGUGAUGCUGUUUUUCCUUUAUAAAGUACCAAUUAGGAUGUCAGCACAUGGUUUUGCUCUUUGAACGUGGAAAAUAUAACACUUAACGCUGGGGAUUUAAGAUCUUAAUUCAGCUCCUCGUGUAUAAUUUGGAAUACAGUCUAAUGACACGAUCGCACUUGCUUUCUCUUGCUCUCUCACGCGCUUUCUUCUUCUCCACCUCGCUGAGACAGCUUGGGCAGGGUGAGUCAGAGCUGUUCAGUAAACAGAGACUGUUACAUUUCCCCUUUCUGUGCUAAAAAAAUAGUUAUACCACCCAUGUCUACACAGACAUCUUUUGGAAAUUGUAGAAGUUGUUUUCAAGAGGAUCCUAAGCCUGCUAUAAUAGGCCAGCUGCUGGAAAACACUGAGAGCUGAAAAAAAGACUGCCUGGACAGACUGCUAAAAACGUUAGCAAAAUGAAGAAACCUGGAAACUUGCUGCAGUUCUUCUCUGGUGGGAAGACAGCCUUGGCUACGUCUGCAUCCACCUGCUGGAUGAGAAGCCACGCUUUGUCAGCACCGAGGAAUGGAGCUACCAAUUUAGCCGUUAAACACAGCGUUUUGGACACAGGUAUCUCCCUUGGUUCCAGGCAGUCACGGAGGAGUGGUCGGUCACCAGCUAAGAACUAGAGUGCUCCUGGAAAGGAGGCCACAAAUGUGCCUGGGUUUUGUUAGGAUUUUGAAUUUUCGAACAGAACCGAGGUGCCUGAAGUAAGUCUCUUGCGUCGAAGUGUACAGGUUACCCUUUAAUGAUCGCUUCGUAAUGACUGAGAAGCCAGUGGAGGAGAAUAUUCAGGUACGUGGGCACACGUGCACAAGAGCAGCGACUCCCAAAAGGGUCUGAGCCGCCCCCGGGGCUGCUCCAUCCUUUGCUCCGGCAGCUCCCCAGCGCUGCCUCCCCGCGUGUUUCGCUCUUUUGCACGUCCUGGGAUUUCUGCAGUUAUAUUGUUUGUCUUAUUUUCUGUUUCCCCUGUCAUCCCCAUCUCACAGACCCACAGGGCUGCUUCUCUUUCCCAGCAGAGCCCAUAGGACAGACCUGUCUGACCUGACCGUACCUCACCAGCUGCGACAUGCAAUAGCAGAAUGUGCAGUUAAAACACAGAGUCUACUAGUUUCCAGCUUGUCAUUAAUUCUCUAAUUUGGAGGAUUCCCUUUUCUCUUUAACUGUGCAUUUUGGAUACAAAAUUAAUUCGAAUGUCACUUAAAGCAAGGGUAGUUUUAAGUAAAUCAGUUUGCCGUCAAUGCCAGUAAGCUUCCCACUGAAAAGCUUCUUGUUUGUGUGCUUGUGGUUUUUGCUUCUCCCAUAGGCCCUUGUGCAGACAGAUAUACUGGGGAAGCCACCUACUGGAGGUCAACUUUGAAAUGUUUUAAAAUAGUAAAAUCUGCUGUAAGAAUUAUUUCCAAUAACCUUCAUGUAUUUGUUCAUAUUUGCUAAAUUUUUUGCAAUGGAGGUUUUUGGAUUAUCGGUUUGAUAAUGGAUUUUCACAGCACUUCCAGAUUAUUAUCAAAUGUCUCCCAACAAUCACUUGUUUGAACAUUGUUUUGGCUUCCUCUGCCGAUCCCUUUAUCUCUGUGCCUAAAACACGAUAGCAAUGGAGCAGACAAAUUGCUAGCUAGCACAAUUAAUAUAUUACAAAUGAUACUCUACUAAUGUAUUUUGUAGAUAUACUGGAAAUCUCAUCUGUUUGGGCUACGGUAGAUUAGUUGCUUAGUAAAACAGAACUGCAGUCUUGAGGAAUACACAAAAUAGAUGGCUGAAAAUCUAGGCAUUAAUACAGUUACACUGAAUGCAUCAUGUACUAGUGGACAACUCAACCUAACUGCUGUAGUAACCCAUGUCCAUGUAUCACAUCUGCGUGAUAUGGGUCACAGAAUCACAGAAUCCCAGAAUGUCAGGGGUUGAAGCGCCCUGGAAAGCUCAUCCAGUGCAAUCCCCCCAUGGAGCAGGAACACCCAGAUGAGGUUACACAGGAAGGUGUCCAGGUGGGUUGGAAUGUCUGCACAGAAGGAGACUCCACAACCCCCCUGGGCAGCCUGGGCCAGGCUCUGCCACCCUCACCAGGAACAAGUUUCUUCUCAUCUUCCAGUGGAACCUCCUGUGUUCCAGUUUGCACCCAUUGCCCCUUGUCCUGUCACUGGUUGUCACCAGAAGAGCCUGGCUCCAUCCUCCUGACACUCCCCCUUUCCAUAUUGAUCCCCAGGAAUGAGUCCCCCCUCAGUCUCCUCUUGUCCAGCUCCAGAGCCCCAGCUCCCUCAGCCUUUCCUCACACGGGAGAUGCUCCACUCCCUUCAGCAUCUUGGUGGCUGCGCUGGACUCUCUCCAGCAGUUCCCUGUCCUGCUGGAACUGAGGGGCCACAGCUGGACACAAUAUUCCAGGUGUGGUCUCCCCAGGGCAGAGCAGAGGGGCAGGAGAACCACUCUGACCUACUGACCACCCCCUUCUAACCCACCCCAGGUACCAUUGGCUUCCUGGCCACAAGGGCCCAGUGCUGGCUCAUGGUCACCCUGCUGUCCCCAGGACCCCCAGGUCCCUUUCCACUACACUGCUCUCUAGCACAUCUUCAUGAUCCAAACAAACGAAUUAUAACUCAUGUUAAUAGGGCAGAUAUCAUGGCUGAUUUAAAUUGUUGUCUGUUGAAAUGAUGGAAUACUUCUCUUUAUGAAUAGUUGAUUCUGAUUUUUCUGAAAACCAAAGCACAGUUAUUUUUAUCUUUUUCACGGUGUCCUUGUCUUGCAGAGUUCUUAAUGGCCUUGGCAUUUAGCAGGACUUGAUCUGAAUGAGAGAACACCUGUGCCCUGGCAUACAGUUAAGGUGUCCCUGUAUUCUGCUCCCAGAUAGUGAUUUUCACGCAUGUCUUGAAUACCAUAAAACUGCCCAAUCUGUACUCAUCAGCUUGACGUUACAAAAUGAACACUGUCGGUGUUAACGGUUGGACCUGAUGAUCUUGCUAUCACCAAGCUGAAGAAGACUCACAAGAAACCUUGGGGUUUUUUUGUCAAAAGUUUUAUCCUCUUGGAAUUCAAAAACUUAGCUAAAAAUUUGUUUCUUGACUUGAUAAAGACUUGCCAAGUGACAAAGCAUGACUUUAUAUGGUAAAAGUAGUGAUAUUUUUAACGUCUUUAUUUUUCCCCAAGAGUAUUGGAUUGUACUGCAAAAACCAGUGAGCACUGGUGCUCACACUUAGUGUGUGUGGAUACAAAGGCGAAUGAUCACCGUGACUGUGACUGAUGACAGUGACUGAUGCUGCCCCUCGCUGAUCGCUCCACUGCUUCUCCUUUGUGAGUGAAGAAAAUCUACAAAUGAAUGGAUUUAAAACACGCUUGUGAUUGUAAGAGGCAAAGCAAUAAACUACGUGUUUCCGAAGUUCGUAUACAGUGAGGACUAUGGUUUCAAAAGAGUUUCUUCUGAUAUAAGAAGAAAGACACAAGAAAUACAGCAGGUCAUGCCGGCGUACCACAUUUAUGGCUGCAUUGCUCUAGAAGUACGAUGCCAAUUGUAGCCUGUCUGCUUCUGCUACAGCUUAUUCUCACGUCCCACGGAGAAUUUGUGGAACUCCCUGUCACAUCUCAGCGAGUGUUACCCACGACACCACUAGGCCUGUUCUGCACCACGAGCUCACCCACGGUCAGAGCUCGCAGAGGCAGCAGUCCAGUCUCUAAGUGAUGAUCUAUUAAACAAAUCCUCAUGGGUUUUCUCCGUAAGAUUCAACGAGCAGAUGAGCAGAGGGAUGUGAUACCGAACAUGGGGCUGUUUUGUUCUUUUCUGGAGUACUUUGUGGUUUCGGAUUUCUCAGCAAUACAGAACUGUUUGGUGUGCUUAGAAAAUGUGAAACUACCAAAGGCCAGAUGAAUAUUGCCUGAACUGAUGUAAAUAAAACAGAGAGCCCUUCUGUCUUAACACACUUACUUAACAAUUCCGUGUAGCACCCUGCAAAUAUUUUCAGUUAGCAUUUCAAGUUCCUGUUACUUUUUUUGUGAACUUGUAAAUUAAAAGACUUCCCAACAUGAUUCAAAACAUAUGCAGGGAGGUAUAUCAGAAGAAACUUAAUACCAAGGGAGCAGUCUAGGUGAUAGAAAUCUAGACAUUUAAAAGGCCAUCUGACAAAAACCAAUUCUAGUUAAUUUGUGUUCUCUGUUAAUGUUCACAAAUCAAAACAUGAGAGCCCAGAUUUGGGAAGGGAAGUUCAAGCUGGGUUUGUGUCCUUUCUCAAGCAACAACUGAGGCGGUUACUCCUCGGUGUGCCUGUUUCUGUCACAUCUUCAUAUGGUUUAGCUGCACUUCUGCCACCUUGGACAACAAAGCGCAGGGAAGAUCAGAAAUGGAAAGCUGACAUGUUUUUGCAGUGGGAGGUCGGGGAGGAUUCGGUGAGGCUGUCUGAUGGGACCGGGUGCGAGCGGGGCUGCUGCAGCGGGCGGGCGGACACCGGGGAGAACCGGCUGUGGCGCCUCCGGACAAGUGGGAGCUGGAAAAUUUGAUAUACAUUUCAUAUAAGCAGCACGAAUGUCAGAAUAUAGAGAGGGAUUAGCUUUUAAAGAAAUGUGUCAGAGGUGAAACGUGAAUUUGAAAUCUGGACAUUUAGAAAUGUGUAACACUUAGUGAAUUCAGCAAAUCCAUUUCCACACAAACAUUUCUUUCACACUAACAGCACUGACGCAAGUGACUCCUUUAAUGUUCAUGAAUCUUAGACUAAUGUGAUUACUGCAGCUAUCCUACCAGUUGGUAAAUGUCUUUUAAGGAAGAAAAAUAUUUAAAAACCAAGCUACAAAUAAAGCAUGGAAAAGGGUGUAUAAUGAUAUUACCAACACUGUGUCUGCUUAGUGGCUCAGAUACGCCAUUAAAGAUGGGUGACAUUGUAUGUCACCUUAAUAUACUCUGUAACAUCCAUGGCACAUAGUGAAUAUCCACUUCAGCCCAUAUGUCUGUUUUAUUUUCUUUAUGUGUAUGUAUUCUUUUUAUCUCUGUAACAAAUAAGUGCCAUAUUUCUAUGGAGUUUGUAAGAAGAUUUUUGAUGACCUGCUAGCAGGGGUCUCGAUAAAUUAUGAGGCUUUAAAAAAGCCUUGUGAUGCUGGUCUCCGUGACAUAUGCUACAGUCCAGAAGAGUAUUUUGUGUGUAUGACUUAUUUUCAGCACAGAGAUUCUGUUUAACAUUUGUAAUGAAAACAGACCUAAGUGUCUGCCACUCCAGACCUGGUUCCGCUGUUGUUUGCCAGUGGUGUUCCUGCCCCUCAGAUCCGGAUUGUUCCCAUUUCACAGGAUCCCAGAAUGUCAGGGGUUGAAGGGCCCUGGAAAGCUCAUCCAGUGCAAUCCCCCCAUGGAGCAGGAACACCCAGAUGAGGUUACACAGGAAGGUGUCCAGGCGGGUUGGAAUGUCUGCACAGAAGGAGACUCCACAACCUCCCUGGGCAGCCUGGGCCAGGCUCUGGCACCCUCACCAGGAACAAGUUUCUUCUCAUCUUUCAGUGGAACCUCCUGUGUUCCAGUUUGCACCCAUUGCCCCUUGUCCUGUCACUGGUUGUCACCAGAAGAGCCUGGCUCCAUCCUCCUGACACUCCCCCUUUAGAUAUCUGUAAACAUGAAUGAGGUCGCUCCUCAGUCUCCUCUUCUCCAAGCUAAAAAGACCCAGCUCCCUCAGCCUUUUUGGCAGGUCAGUGGUGGGGAAAUGUGUACAUUUGCUUUUCGAGGGUGACGGCUGCUCCUGCACCUUCCCCGGCACAGCAGCCGCUGGUUUCCUUCCCACCGAACGGGGUGCACAGACCUGGACCCAGCGCUGAACUGAACGCUUGGCAUGAGUGGACACACGCCAAACACAAGUCACUCACAUAACGAAACCUUUUUUCCUAAGGAUGUCACAUGGCACAAGUCCAUGUGGCUUAGAACAUGCACUAGCACACAAAAUGCAGAGAAAAUGCUUCCCAUUUGUAUUCUCUGUUGCUGUAUGUACAGUAUGAUGUGCAGCAUACAGGCUGAAAUUACAUUUAAUGGAGAAAAAAUGACUAAUGACAUUUUGGUAGACUUGCAUAUUUUUGUAGACGAAUAGCUGAUUAAAUGACAUAUUGAAUAUUUUUCAUUAAAAUGUGUUGGAUUCAAUUGGCUCAAGUGACAGAUAUCCCCAGUUUCUAGCAUGUGUAACUGGACUCUUUUAGUUUCACCACAUAGAAUUAUCUGAAAGUUACUUCUUUAAAAUGGUAAUAUAAUUUUAAGUGGCAUUUGACCAGCUUCAAGUUUAGUUUCACAUUAUAAUAGCAAAAGAAUAUGAAAUCAAAUCAUACUGGCACUAACCUGCCUGUAAAUGCCUCUUAUUAUUAUCCUUUUUUAACAUGAAUCCUUCUGUAGUUACUUCUGUGUUACUACCGGAGUGUAGCUGUGCUAAGCCAUGACAACGUGUGCUGGUUCGGAUGCUUCAUCCUUUAUUUUUUCUCUGAUAUUCUCUCAGUUUGCCAGCACAACUAAUCCCCAGGAAUUUGAUUUUCAUUCUUUUUUUCAUUGUGAUAUCAGUGUUAGGAAACAAAACUGGAUUUUAAAUUGCUGUUGUACUCUGGCAUGACAUUGAGUCUUUUUGUCACUUAACGUACAAGCAGUUCAGUAUUCUCACUUCCUAACAGACGUAAUCAUGUUGAAUUAUCUCACAGUUGUGUCAUGAGUCGAAGUAUCAUGAAUAUCAUUAGGUUGGACAAAAAGCGCUGUUCUCUUUCAGGUACAGUUUUACGUACCAUUAAACAGAGCAAGCUCCCUCUAAUAUUCUACUGAUACUCCUUGAACUAAGUUUCCCGAUGCCAGGAACAACAUGGAGAACUCUGCUUCUCGUUGUGUUCUGCACUAGGGACCGAGGUCUUUGAGACUUGGACCAAAUUCAGUUGGCUGUUGCCUUUGUGCAGUUUUGGAUUGAUAAGGUGGUUACAGGACGUUUUUAUAAAAAUCUCUGAAGUCUAGCAUUUGAGGACGAUUGAUCUGUAGUUUUUAAAACUGUAGUCAGUGCUGUGGUAAUGUAAAGAGGUAAAAAGAAAAGAAAAAAAAACACAAAUAAAAGACGCCAAACCCAAACCACCCCACAAAAACCAACCAAAAAGGAAGCACGAAUUUCUGAGAAGAUGCUUACAGAGAGCAGACGGUGCAUUCAAAGUGAAUCAAGUGUGUAAACUAGGAAAUACCUUCUCUCCUGGCACUGUAUGGAGCAGUAACAGGUGAACGAGGGCUCUGCGACUUAUCCAAACAUCUCACAGCCUGUGAAACAGGAACGUGCAGCUGUAUCAGACAGUCCUGGCUGCAGUUACAAUUAGAAUCAGUCCAUAUAAUAAUUUAAGGAAUUGCUUGCAUGGGCUGAGGAUGCACACAAAAGUACUAUGGGUGGGAAUUGGGUGUCAUCAAGCAGAGAAUGGAAGUUUUCCACACAACUAUGUUAAAAAGGAUAGAUCUGGCUUCACUGAAAUUUGAGCAGCCUGCCCACUCUGUUUAAUCGGUUUAUAUUUCAUUUUGUAGUAACAGAUCCUGGCACUCACGUUGCUCCCUAUCACUUGUUUGUUUCAUUAUGUUCAUAGCAAAGAGCACUGAGGAGAGAUUUCAGCCCUGUCACAGAGACCUGGGUGGUACUUUAGUUAACGUGCCCAGCCACGUGUAAUACCGCCCAACCUGCUGUGCUCCGUGUGGCUCCGCAAUCAUUCGACAUGUUCCUCAGUCUUGUAAUUGUAUCGUCUUUGCACGCGCAGUAUCAGUGGAAACGGCACACGUGCCCUUCCUGUGGUGAAGCGCAGUGUUCUAACGCUGUCUGCAAGUGACUUGCUUCUGUGUCAUGUGUUGUACGUGAUCAAACUUGCGUUAUCGUGCUUACAUACAAGCUUUUCAGAAAUACGAAUAGCCCCGAGGUAUCCUAACACUGACAGAAAAUGAUUCUCUGUAGAUCCCACUAGAUCUAAACGUAUAGAGAUGUAAGCGCAGCUCCACAGCUUGUCCAGCACGCAAGCUGCAGGCUGCUGGAGUGACAGGGACAUUCCACCCGCAGUCAUAGCCCGGCGUUGUUCUUAUGCACAUUUUCUGUGCCCUCCAUAGAAAAAGCUGUGUCUGUACGUGGCUGUAUUUUGCAUAUCUGUAUUUUGCCUCAGCAGAGCGAACAUUUGGCGCUCUACGGUCUUUAAAAUGUCAGCAUCUUCUAACGCUCUUAAUAUUUUACUUAAUUUUCUGAUAAUAUCAUGAAUGCUUCUAAAUUCCGUGAUUCAUUAAAAAAUCCAUGCAGUUAUAUGUUUGAACGUGUGAGCUUCAAACUGUGCAAGCGUUAGUGCCGGGAAAGCGUUACCAGACCUCUGAAGGGAAUUGCUGCAUGAACGGGCCGUGUGUGAUCUUAGAGCACCUGUUACAUGUGGUACAGCCUGUAAAGAUCAAUUGCAAAAUGAUUUGUAAUUAUCUGCCUCUUGGAUAAACGUGUAUGUUGUACAAUAAA